GACGAACGCUGGCGGCGUGCCUAAUACAUGCAAGUCGAGCGGAGUUAGAGAAGCUUGCUUCUUCUGAUUUUAGCGGCGGGCGGGUGAGUAACACGUGGGCAACCUACCUUGUAGAUUGGGAUAACUCCGGGAAACCGGGGCUAAUACCGAAUAAUCCAUUUUGCUUCAUGGCGAGAUGUUAAAAGGCGGCUUCGGCUGUCACUACGAGAUGGGCCCGCGGCGCAUUAGCUAGUUGGUAGGGUAAUGGCCUACCAAGGCGACGAUGCGUAGCCGACCUGAGAGGGUGAUCGGCCACACUGGGACUGAGACACGGCCCAGACUCCUACGGGAGGCAGCAGUAGGGAAUCUUCCACAAUGGACGAAAGUCUGAUGGAGCAACGCCGCGUGAGUGAAGAAGGUUUUCGGAUCGUAAAACUCUGUUGUAAGGGAAGAACACGUACGAGAGUAACUGCUCGUACCUUGACGGUACCUUAUUAGAAAGCCACGGCUAACUACGUG
Molecule: ribosomal RNA, 498 nt
Filed under: uncultured bacterium
Lineage: Bacteria
Description: bacterial SSU rRNA
Rfam family: Bacterial small subunit ribosomal RNA
Source: RNAcentral